UGGGGAAUAUUGGACAAUGGGCGAAAGCCUGAUCCAGCAAUGCCGCGUGUGUGAAGAAGGUCUUCGGAUUGUAAAGCACUUUCGACGGGGACGAUGAUGACGGUACCCGUAGAAGAAGCCCCGGCUAACUUCGUGCCAGCAGCCGCGGUAAUACGAAGGGGGCUAGCGUUGCUCGGAAUGACUGGGCGUAAAGGGCGCGUAGGCGGAUGACACAGUCAGAUGUGAAAUUCCCGGGCUUAACCUGGGGGCUGCAUUUGAUACGUGUUGUCUAGAGUGAGGAAGAGGGUUGUGGAAUUCCCAGUGUAGAGGUGAAAUUCGUAGAUAUUGGGAAGAACACCGGUGGCGAAGGCGGCAACCUGGUCCUUGACUGACGCUGAGGCGCGAAAGCGUGGGGAGCAAACAGGAUUAGAUACCCCCGUAGUCC
This 424-nucleotide ribosomal RNA is filed under the name uncultured bacterium. Its description in RNAcentral is "bacterial SSU rRNA". It matches the Rfam family "Bacterial small subunit ribosomal RNA", at positions 355 to 796 of the family's 1533-position model. The record is from RNAcentral.